GCAAUAUGAUAUUUAAAAGUAAAAAUUGGUUUAAACUAAGAUUUUGUCGUUGAUGACGUCAUGAAUUUUGAAGAUUUAUUGCACUAGUGCAAUAUUAGAAUUUAUUGCACGCUAACGUUUGGUUACUUUCUGUGGGAAAUAUUAUAUUGCUAUACAAUAAUAUAGGGUUAUUGCAUGAAUAUUGGGGAAUAUUGCCCCGAGUAGAAUUUUAUAUUGCACGAGCUUGCGAGUGCAAUAUAUGUUCUACGAGGGACAAUAUUCCCCAAUAUUCAUGCAUUGACCCUUUUAUUGUAUAGCAAUAUAAUAUUUGAAAGUAAAAAUUGGUUUAAACUAAGAUUUUGUCGUUGAGGACGUCAUGAAUUUAAAGAUUUAUUGCACUAGUGCAAUGUUAGAAUUUAUUGCACGCUAACUUUUGGUUACUUUCUGUGGGAAAUAUUAUAUUGCUAUGCAAUAAUUAUAAUAAU
Molecule: long non-coding RNA, 464 nt
Filed under: Mytilus galloprovincialis (Mediterranean mussel)
Lineage: Eukaryota; Metazoa; Mollusca; Bivalvia; Mytilida; Mytilidae
Source: RNAcentral